GUUGUGGCUCAGUGGUAGAGCGCUUGCCUUGCAUGUGUGAGGCACUGGGUUCAAUCCUCAGCACCACA
This 68-nucleotide transfer RNA is filed under the name Marmota monax (woodchuck). RNAcentral describes it as "tRNA.Ala". The stretch from base 3 to 63 matches the Rfam family "tRNA", at positions 6 to 65 of the family's 71-position model. From Rfam's summary of the family: Transfer RNA (tRNA) molecules are approximately 80 nucleotides in length. Their secondary structure includes four short double-helical elements and three loops (D, anti-codon, and T loops). The record is from RNAcentral. Lineage: Eukaryota; Metazoa; Chordata; Mammalia; Rodentia; Sciuridae.